GAACGCUGGCGGCAGCCUACACAUGCAAGUCGAACGGUAACAUUUCUAGCUUGCUAGAAGAUGACGAGUGGCGGACGGGUGAGUAAUGCUUGGGAACUUGCCUUUGCGAGGGGGAUAACAGUUGGAAACGACUGCUAAUACCGCAUAAUGUCUUCGGACCAAACGGGGCUUAGGCUCCGGCGCAAAGAGAGGCCCAAGUGAGAUUAGCUAGUUGGUAAGGUAACGGCUUACCAAGGCGACGAUCUCUAGCUGUUCUGAGAGGAAGAUCAGCCACACUGGGACUGAGACACGGCCCAGACUCCUACGGGAGGCAGCAGUGGGGAAUAUUGCACAAUGGGGGAAACCCUGAUGCAGCCAUGCCGCGUGUGUGAAGAAGGCCUUCGGGUUGUAAAGCACUUUCAGUUGUGAGGAAAAGUUAGUAGUUAAUACCUGCUAGCCGUGACGUUNACAACAGAAGAAGCACCGGCUAACUCCGUGCCAGCAGCCGCGGUAAUACGGAGGGUGCGAGCGUUAAUCGGAAUUACUGGGCGUAAAGCGCACGC
This 542-nucleotide ribosomal RNA is filed under the name uncultured bacterium. RNAcentral's name for it is "bacterial SSU rRNA". It matches the Rfam family "Bacterial small subunit ribosomal RNA", at positions 31 to 572 of the family's 1533-position model. The record is from RNAcentral.